GAGGUCGGGAGAGGGAUGUGGAAUUCCAGGUGUAGCGGUGAAAUGCGUAGAUAUCUGGAGGAACACCGGUGGCGAAGGCGGCAUCCUGGACCGGUAUUGACGCUGAGGCGCGAAAGCUAGGGGAGCAAACGGGAUUAGAUACCCCGGUAGUCCUAGCCCUAAACGAUGAGUGCUUGGUGUGGCGGGUAUCGAUCCCUGCCGUGCCGAAGCUAACACAUUAAGCACUCCGCCUGGGGAGUACGGUCGCAAGGCUGAAACUCAAAUGAAUUGACGG
This 274-nucleotide ribosomal RNA is filed under the name uncultured bacterium. RNAcentral's name for it is "partial 16S ribosomal RNA". It matches the Rfam family "Bacterial small subunit ribosomal RNA", at positions 644 to 916 of the family's 1533-position model. The record is from RNAcentral.